This 319-nucleotide ribosomal RNA is filed under the name uncultured Pseudomonadota bacterium. RNAcentral's name for it is "bacterial SSU rRNA". It matches the Rfam family "Bacterial small subunit ribosomal RNA", at positions 29 to 351 of the family's 1533-position model. The record is from RNAcentral. Lineage: Bacteria; Pseudomonadati; Pseudomonadota.
AUUGAACGCUGGCGGCGUGCUUAACACAUGCAAGUCGAUCGGUAACGCGGGGGCAACCCUGGCGACGAGAGGCGGACGGGUGAGGAACGCUUGGGAAUCUGCCUAUCAGCGGGGGACAACCCGGGGAAACUCGGGCUAAUACCGCAUACGCUCUACGGAGGAAAGCCGGGGACCGCAAGGCCUGGCACUGAUAGAUGAGCCCAAGUCGGAUUAGCUAGUUGGCGGGUAACGCCCACCAAGGCGACGAUCCGUAGCUGGUCUGAGAGGACGAUCAGCCACACUGGGACUGAGACACGGCCCAGACUCCUACGGGAGGCAG